Molecule: ribosomal RNA, 497 nt
Filed under: uncultured bacterium
Lineage: Bacteria
Description: partial 16S ribosomal RNA
Rfam family: Bacterial small subunit ribosomal RNA
Source: RNAcentral
GAUGAACGCUGGCGGCGUGCCUAAUACAUGCAAGUCGAGCGAACAGACGAGGAGCUUGCUCCUCUGACGUUAGCGGCGGACGGGCGAGUAACACGUGGAUAACCUACCUAUAAGACUGGGAUAACUUCGGGAAACCGGAGCUAAUACCGGAUAAUAUAUUGAACCGCAUGGUUCAAUAGUGAAAGACGGUUUUGCUGUCACUUAUAGAUGGAUCCGCGCCGCAUUAGCUAGUUGGUAAGGUAACGGCUUACCAAGGCGACGAUGCGUAGCCGACCUGAGAGGGUGAUCGGCCACACUGGACCUGAGACACGGUCCAGACUCCUACGGGAGGCAGCAGUAGGGAAUCUUCCGCAAUGGGCGAAAGCCUGACGGAGCAACGCCGCGUGAGUGAUGAAGGUCUUCGGAUCGUAAAACUCUGUUAUUAGGGAAGAACAAAUGUGUAAGUAACUAUGCACGUCUUGACGGUACCUAAUCAGAAAGCCACGGCUAACUACGUG